AAGUCGUAACAAGGUUUCCGUAGGUGAACCUGCGGAAGGAUCAUUAACACAAUCUAAACAUGGUAUCCAAAAUCCUUUUGGAUAUUCACCCCAUUUCGUGAACUCUGUUGGGAGGUGCUUCAUAGCCCUUUUUCAAAAGAAAAGGGCUCCCUGACUGCCUCCGCUUUUCUUUCAUCUACUUUUUUUUAUAAACCCAAUUGAACAACUGACUGAACCUUGUUUUUUCAGAAAUGAAAAGACUAAACUAAGAAAAUUGAAAAACAACUCUUAGCAACGGAUAUCUUGGCUCUCGUAACGAUGAAAAACGCAGC
RNAcentral lists this unclassified non-coding RNA (311 nucleotides) under fungal sp. Its description in RNAcentral is "partial internal transcribed spacer region". The stretch from base 1 to 46 matches the Rfam family "Eukaryotic small subunit ribosomal RNA", at positions 1786 to 1831 of the family's 1831-position model. The record is from RNAcentral. Lineage: Eukaryota; Fungi.